GACGAACGCUGGCGGCGUGCUUAACACAUGCAAGUCGAACGGAAAGGCCCCCUUGUGGGGUACUCGAGUGGCGAACGGGUGAGUAACACGUGAGUAACCUACCCUUGACUUUGGGAUAACUUCAGGAGACUGGGGCUAAUACCGGAUAGGAGCUCCUGCUGCAUGGUGGGGGUUGGAAAGUUUCGGCGGUUGGGGAUGGACUCGCGGCUUAUCAGCUUGUUGGUGGGGUAGUGGCUCACCAAGGCUUUGACGGGUAGCCGGCCUGAGAGGGUGACCGGCCACAUUGGGACUGAGAUACGGCCCAGACUCCUACGGGAGGCAGCAGUGGGGAAUAUUGCACAAUGGGCGGAAGCCUGAUGCAGCAACGCCGCGUGCGGGAUGACGGCCUUCGGGUUGUAAACCGCUUUCGCCUGUGACGAAGCGUGAGUGACGGUAAUGGGUAAAGAAGCACCGGCUAACUACGUG
Molecule: ribosomal RNA, 465 nt
Filed under: uncultured bacterium
Lineage: Bacteria
Description: partial 16S ribosomal RNA
Rfam family: Bacterial small subunit ribosomal RNA
Source: RNAcentral